RNAcentral lists this ribosomal RNA (279 nucleotides) under uncultured bacterium. RNAcentral's name for it is "partial 16S ribosomal RNA". It matches the Rfam family "Bacterial small subunit ribosomal RNA", at positions 506 to 784 of the family's 1533-position model. The record is from RNAcentral.
UGCCAGCAGCCGCGGUAAUACAGAGGGUGCGAGCGUUAAUCGGAAUUACUGGGCGUAAAGGGUGCGUAGAUGGUUUCGUAAGUUGGAUGUGAAAGCCCCGGGCUCAACCUGGGAACUGCAUUCAAAACUGCGUCACUAGAGUAGAAUAGAGGGGAGUGGAAUUUCCGGUGUAACGGUGAAAUGCGUAGACAUCGGAAGGAACACCAGUGGCGAAGGCGACUCCCUGGAUUCAUACUGACGUUGAGGCACGAAAGCGUGGGGAUCAAACAGGAUUAGAUA